UCAAGAGGGCGUGAAACCGCUGAGAAGGAAACGGAUAGAGUUGACGAAACUUGGUGACAUUCAACCAAUUGCCUUUGCGACCCCACGGUUUUACGCCUCGAUGAGGGUAAAGACGUGGUUAGUUGCAGCGAAUGCAGAUUGGUGUAUUUGUUGCCGGUAUGCGCCGAGAAAUUCGCUUUUGUGUGCCAACGCUUGCGUAGAGGCCCACUCCCAUCUGGGCGUGGAAACCUUCUCAGGAAGAGGCAUGUUGGAGGUGAAUGAAGUUAGAGGGUCUUGGCAUUAGCGCAACGGUUUUUGCUGGUUGGCGUAACCGUUGGGCGGUCGCAUGCGACUUGCCUACGGUUAUUAGCCGGUCAGUGAUGAUGCGGUUGCGUUGAGACCUAAACUCGGUGUGAAAGUUAACCACCUAUCCGACCCGUCUUGAAACACGGACCAAGGAGUCUAGCAUAUGCGCGAGUCAUUGGGUGGAAAACCUAAAGGCGUAAUGAAAGUAAAGGUCGUCUUGAUGCGGCUGAUAUGGGAUCCGUUUGGUUCGUAGCCAAGCGGCGCACCAUAGUCCCGUCCCCGUUGCUUGCAAUAGGGCGGAGAUGGAGCGCAUACGCUGGGACCCGAAAGAUGGUGAACUAUGCCUGAGCAGGAUGAAGCCAGAGGAAACUCUGGUGGAGGUCCGAAGCGGUUCUGACGUGCAAAUCGAUCGUCUGACUUGGGUAUAGGGGCGAAAGACUAAUCGAACCAUCUAGUAGCU
Molecule: ribosomal RNA, 745 nt
Filed under: Rhigonema disparovis
Lineage: Eukaryota; Metazoa; Nematoda; Chromadorea; Rhabditida; Rhigonematidae
Description: partial large subunit ribosomal RNA
Rfam family: Eukaryotic large subunit ribosomal RNA
Source: RNAcentral